RNAcentral lists this ribosomal RNA (256 nucleotides) under uncultured bacterium. Its description in RNAcentral is "partial 16S ribosomal RNA". It matches the Rfam family "Bacterial small subunit ribosomal RNA", at positions 102 to 353 of the family's 1533-position model. The record is from RNAcentral.
ACGGGUGAGUAACGCGUGAGUAACCUGCCUUUCANAGGGGGAUAACGUUCUGAAAAGAAACGCUAAUACCGCAUAACAUCAAUUUAUCGCAUGAUAGGUUGAUCAAAGGAGCAAUCCGCUGGAAGAUGGACUCGCGUCCGAUUAGCCAGUUGGCGGGGUAACGGCCCACCAAAGCGACGAUCGGUAGCCGGACUGAGAGGUUGAACGGCCACAUUGGGACUGAGACACGGCCCAGACUCCUACGGGAGGCAGCAUG